RNAcentral lists this ribosomal RNA (472 nucleotides) under uncultured bacterium. RNAcentral describes it as "bacterial SSU rRNA". It matches the Rfam family "Bacterial small subunit ribosomal RNA", at positions 335 to 800 of the family's 1533-position model. The record is from RNAcentral.
ACUCCUACGGGAGGCAGCAGUGGGGAAUAUUGGACAAUGGGGGACCCUGAUCCAGCCAUGCCGCGUGUGUGAAGAAGGCCUUAUGGUUGUAAAGCACUUUAAGCGAGGAGGAGGCUACUGAGACUAAUACUCUUGGAUAGUGGACGUUACUCGCAGAAUAAGCACCGGCUAACUCUGUGCCAGCAGCCGCGGUAAUACAGAGGGUGCGAGCGUUAAUCGGAUUUACUGGGCGUAAAGCGUGCGUAGGCGGCCAUUUAAGUCAAAUGUGAAAUCCCCGNGNUUAACUUGGGAAUUGCAUUCGAUACUGGAUGGCUAGAGUAUGGGAGAGGAUGGUAGAAUUCCAGGUGUAGCGGUGAAAUGCGUAGAGAUCUGGAGGAAUACCGAUGGCGAAGGCAGCCAUCUGGCCUAAUACUGACGCUGAGGUACGAAAGCAUGGGGAGCAAACAGAUUAGAUACCCUGGUAGCUACGAGU